This 497-nucleotide ribosomal RNA is filed under the name uncultured bacterium. Its description in RNAcentral is "partial 16S ribosomal RNA". It matches the Rfam family "Bacterial small subunit ribosomal RNA", at positions 28 to 507 of the family's 1533-position model. The record is from RNAcentral.
GAUGAACGCUGGCGGCGUGCCUAAUACAUGCAAGUCGAGCGAACAGACGAGGAGCUUGCUCCUCUGACGUUAGCGGCGGACGGGUGAGUAACACGUGGAUAACCUACCUAUAAGACUGGGAUAACUUCGGGAAACCGGAGCUAAUACCGGAUAACAUGUUGAACCGCAUGGUUUAACAGUGAAAGAUGGUCUUGCUGUCACUUAUAGAUGGAUCCGCGCCGCAUUAGCUAGUUGGUAAGGUAACGGCUUACCAAGGCAACGAUGCGUAGCCGACCUGAGAGGGUGAUCGGCCACACUGGAACUGAGACACGGUCCAGACUCCUACGGGAGGCAGCAGUAGGGAAUCUUUCGCAAUGGGCGAAAGCCUGACGGAGCAACGCCGCGUGAGUGAAGAAGGUCUUCGGAUCGUAAAACUCUGUUAUUAGGGAAGAACAAAUGUGUAAGUAACUAUGCACGUCUUGACGGUACCUAAUCAGAAAGCCACGGCUAACUACGUG